AAUGUUUGCAGCCUGUAAACAAGGAGUUACAGCCCUCAUAAUCACAUCUUCCACUAUAGAAGCUGAGGCUGCAGCAAUCAGUUAAGAAGAUGGUUGAAAUUCCUGAUCAAAAAUUGGAAGUGGACUCAGUGGCAUCCCACACCAAGGAGUUUGACAGAGUUACAGUACUUACAGUUCUCUUCAGUGGCACUAGGUUUUAGGCAUUCCAUCUACACUAGGAACAUAAAAAUGGGAAAAAGCACUGGAAGAUGCUGAGGCAGAAGUAGAAUGGGCCAAAAACCAGCC
This is a non-coding RNA of Cyanistes caeruleus (blue tit), 285 nucleotides long. NCBI's taxonomy places the organism in Eukaryota, Metazoa, Chordata, Aves, Passeriformes, Paridae. The record is from RefSeq and is a predicted model, not a curated record.